Camelina sativa (false flax) is the source of this 411-nucleotide non-coding RNA. The record is from RefSeq and is a predicted model, not a curated record. Lineage: Eukaryota; Viridiplantae; Streptophyta; Magnoliopsida; Brassicales; Brassicaceae.
AAGAAGAUUAAGAAACAAAGCAUCGUUUCUCAAUAAACCUCUCUCUCUCAGUCUCUCUCUCCCUCCUUCCCUGUUCGACAAUAAGCAAGAAUGGUGAAGGCGGCAGAGAAGCAGCCUGGGGCAGUAACAAAGAUAUUUUGGGACAUCAAGAAGUGUCCCGUUCCAACUGGCUUCGAUCCUCGUUUGGUCGGUCCAUGUAUUAAACGGUUUUUGGAGAAAUUAGGCUACUCUGGUCCUCUUAGUAUCUGGGCUACAUCUCCGAUUAAGUCCUUUGAGCGGUCUCUUCCACUGGAAUCAUUCUUCAAGCCACCCCCUUUGGUUCUCGUAACCUACUGACGCUUAUCCCUUGUUGGACCCGUGAGAAUCCACCUCCAGCUAAUAUAAUGCUCAUAUCCGAUCCCACAAAGGACA